This is a long non-coding RNA of Triticum aestivum (bread wheat), 6179 nucleotides long. RefSeq lists it as uncharacterized. Lineage: Eukaryota; Viridiplantae; Streptophyta; Magnoliopsida; Poales; Poaceae. The transcript is spliced from 15 exons. The record is from RefSeq and is a predicted model, not a curated record.
CACGAGUGAGGCCUCCUGCUCUCGUGCGAGAGCGAGAACUACCAGACGGCAAAAGCCACCCACGACUCCCUCACCCUGGCUAGGGUUCCUAGCCCCUCCUCCUCAGCCGCCGUUGCGUGUUCACCUCGCCCGAGCGGCUUCCCGACCUCGUCGGGAGAGGCCAGCAGGACCCCGCCGUCAUGCCUCCGUUUCCCCCAUCUCCUCUUUUCUGCUACCUAUUUCUCUCCUGUGAACUGCGCGUCGUUCCUCUCUGCAGGUGCCGCCAUGGCCGCGUCAUGGAGCUCGCCGCCAUGGGCUGUGUGCCCCUCCGACGACGGCCUGCCUCACCCACGUCUAGAUCUACAAGAGAUCAAGAAGGGUGAUGUUCUGGAUGCUGAUCUCAACUAAUAGUUGCCAGAUGAACUAUGCAAUGACAGCAUGGAUGAGUUCACAUUUACUUCGUGGACCAUCACCAACCGGAUGGAGGUGAAGCAAGUGGGCAAGUCAGGGAAAUGCUCGGAAGGCUAUCGAGAAGAUCAACGAUCUUAACCCCACGAUCCUAAUUUUAGUUUGUACCUCGCUGUUGGGCUGUCAGAAAAGUUUGGAGGAGGAGCAAUGAUAUGACAAUUGUGGCUAACUUUAUUGUCAUUAGUGAUAUAUGUGCUAAUGGACCUUCGGGUUCUCCAUUAUGUUUACCGGCCGGUUUGUCAUCUGAAAAAUACCCGAUAGCAUAGUGGACAGUGCUUUUUUUGGUCAGAAGUAGUAUUUCUACAUGAAACUAAGUUAUAUAUGCGUAUGAGAAAUGUGGCUGAGAAAUGUGGCUUAUCUUUAGAUAAUGCUUUUUUUGGUUAGAAGUUGUUUUUCUACAUGAAACUAAGGUAUAGAUGCAUAUGAGAAAUUAGCUCUUUGCUUAACUGAAUAAAUUGUAUUUGCUCCUUUCAGCCGGAGCCUGGACGUGAUACGAUUUGUACAAUAUGGUUAGAAUAAGAUAUUGUUUGUAUACUGUUGAGUGAAGUAUUGUAUAACUACUGUAAAGUGGGUGUAGGUUUUUAUUGUGCAUUUUACACAGAUGUUCUGGCGCUUGGACACAACCAUAUGUACAAGUUGAAGCCUUCAUUUGGUUUUGACUUCUUAACUUGACUCAAAUUUUGACAUGCAGAUUCUAGGUAUGAAUUCUCUAUAAUACUUCCAUCUAGAAGCACAAAACUUGAUAGUGUUGAUGAAGGGUCGGAAAAAUACAUGAAGCUUUGAAAUUUUCGCAAGAAGAACUAGCACCAAGAGCCGAGUAAACGCAAGCAUUUCUUUAGGAAACAGAAAAAUCUGCAGCAACUAUUUGAUGUUUCUCGAUGCUUGAAGACAACAAGUGAAGUUGUUGCUACUAUCUUACAAGCCAAAGUCAUGAAAAAGGUAUGCACUAUGUGGCAGAUGCAUGCAUAUGAUGUGAUGCCCGUUUUAUUUUCAUAUAUAUCUUACACUUUAAUUUCACUGCAGUGUACCUAAAUCCAUGUGGUAGUGUCAUCGGCAUACAUAAUAUUUUACGCAUACAAACACUAUCUCUCACAACAAAUGAUUGGUUUCUAAAUUCUAAUCUUUUGGUUCUGGUUAAAGAAUUACGUGAUGGAGGAUGGAGUUGUCCUUCGAAGAAUUGUUUAAAGAACUAAAAAGUAGUAACACCAUGUCUUUCAAAUGCCAAAUUGGAAUUGCAACGCGCUGACUCAUGUAUGGGGUCCGCGGAUGCUGAUUGGAACCUUUGAUAGUUAGGAGAUCAUACAUAAACCAUACAUAAACCUAUGAUAAUUAGGAGAAGUUUUGUAGUACUCCCUUCGUUCCUAAAUAUAAGACUUUCCAGAGAUUGUAAUAGGGACUACAUACGGAUGUAUAGAGGCAUACUUUAGAGUGUAGAUUCACUCAUUUUGGUCCGUAUGUAGUCUCUAUUGGAAUCUCUAGAAAGACUUAUAUUUAGGAACGAAGGAAGUACAAUAUUUGUCCAUGUGUUGUAGUAAAUUUGUCCAAUGCAAGUCACCAUAAGUCAAUGUGUGUGGAACAAUAAAAUGGAAGAAGUUUAACUAAGGGGGCACUUUAAUUAAAUAACUUUAUUUUUAAAUCCCCAUUCUUCAAUCUUUUAGGAUUCGUGCAAUUUUGAGUGUCUGCAUGUGCAUGCUAUUUUAGGUUCUUAGGGUUUUUUCCUCAAUCUUUGGAUAGGACUAUAACUUCUCAAGUGUGGGAGCUGAAAAAAAAGUAGAAGAGCAUGCCUAAUCCCUCCAAAUAAAAAUAAAUAUAUCUCAUGAGGCUUUGGAGACACAUCACCAAUGGAAAAUUUACUAACUUACAUGCUUAGGCAGGUUCAUAGGUUGAUAGCAAGGAGUCGAUAGCAAGGAUCAUGUGUGCUGUUUUGUUUUAAUUUAUACAAAAAAUUAUCUCUACAAUGUGUUGAUAUUAAGGAAUAAUAACUGAAAACUUCUAGAGGUUUACAUCUAUGAAGUUGCCUAGAAAAUGGACUGUAAAAUGUUUUUUAUGUGGAGGCAUAAAGAUUAAUUCACUAUUUUGUUUUCGUAAAACGGUUGUUUACUCGCCAAUUUGUAUAGUUAAAUCCAUCUAUUAAGGAUACAUCAUUGAAAAGUAUUAUUUUUUACUUCACUCAAUCAUUUAGUCGGGUGAUAAAGUGUUGGGAGACUACAAAGUUCAUGCUCUAUUCACACAUGGUGGAGGCAACCCAACAAGUUGUUACGGAACCAGCAGAUAAAGAGUCGAGGAACCCGCAUCAUAGGAGAGUCAUCGAGGGGCAUCCUGAUAACGUGAGACACUACAUUUUAUAUAUAUGAUCAUAAUAUAUAACCAUAUUCUACAUACAAUGCACGCCGAGUAUUCUUUGUUGCACAUUCUUAAAUCUUUCACGUAAAUCUUCAUGCUCACUAUUGCUCGUGCAGGUUGGUUGUGAGCUGAAAAUGAAAAUUUUAUUUUACUUGUUGAAGUAGUGUGCGAACGAAGCUAAAGACCAUAUUCCCGGCGUUGUACAGGAAUAUCUCAAGCGUAGCAAGUAGAAUUUAGUUUGUAACAGAUAAUAAUUUGGAUCAUUGCCCAUUUUGUAUGUACAUCAUCAAAUUACAUUGCAUGUGAAGCGGAUUUCAAUUAUUUUCUAAUUGUUGUGGGUUAUCUUUUCUAUACAUGUAAGUUUUCACAUGCAUUAUAUAUUAUUUGGAAGGGGAACUACAAAAUUACUCUUGGCUGAACUAUAUGCAUUAUAUUUAUAUGUGUAAUCAGAAAACAAAGGCCCGUGGCAACGCACAGGCUUUCUACUUGGCAUGCCGUGAGUUUCUUUUUGCGGUAGCUAAUCCUGGCAUGCAAUCAAUGAUAAGUUCUUUAUUUAAUUAAUACAAUAAUUUAAUUCUUUAGUAAGUCUUGAUUUUUUACAUCUAUUCUCAUUUAUUAACACGUGUGCAUUUGAUGGAAAAAGGAAAGAGAUCUGCACCAUACAACAAUAUAUGGUAGAACUAGAAUAAUCCAUGAUCUGCUACCUAGUUAUCCUCCGCAUGGUCUACCUAUAUAUGUUCGUAGAACAGUUUUAUAAGGCAUUACAAACCAAUGGGUAAGCACUUGUUACAUUGGUUUGUUUAUUUGUUUCAUCAAGACACUAUUCGAAAGCAUUAUUUUAUAAUAUUAUAGCAUAUGAUGUGGACUAUUUAUGCUAAAUUAUCUGGAAUAUUGGACAUCAAAUGCAUUAUCAGACCAGUUCACCCAGGUAUUACAUUUUUAUACAUUAUAUUAUUAAUUUAUCUCAAAAUAUUAUAUCAAUUUAUAUAUAUACAUAUAAUUUCUAGGAUGAUAUGAAACACUUUCGACAAAAAAUAGCUGUCAUUUUGCUCGAUUCAGAGCUAAAUAAGCUAAUAGGAAGUCCCAUAUACCAUCAACCUGACAAUGAAGAAACUUUAGCUAAUUCUGAUCUCGAGAUUUUGGAGAAUGCACCUGACGUAGUCAAAGACAAACAUCCUGCCCCAACCACCAUCAUGCCCACCGACCAACGUGAAUUACUUGCCGGCCUCUGCAACUUCAUCAUGUCGGUGGAUGAUGUCGGGUGUUUGGAUUAAGUACCAUGUAUCAAUAUUUAAUGUGUGCAUGUAUAUUAUUAUUAUUCUUACCAUCCAAUUAUAAGGAAGGAAUGGGUCCGGAGCUUGACACCCGAUUCAAUGGGCUUAACUCUUAAGAAACUUCAGUGCAUACUUAACAUGGAGCAGGCUAUGGACAAUGAUUGCUUCAACACCGCCGUGCGUAUACUGGCAUGUGACGAGGGAGUAUUGUUCACAGACCCUCCUAUACACUACAUGGAUCUAAGAUUUUGUUCCAUGAUGCUAGAGUCAACAAAAGGUCAGAAGUUUGGCUAGAAGGAAACUAUCCAGACGUUGGCAGCAUUAUUUGAUAGCUGGCAUAGGAUGGACAACAACAUCUCAUCAUGCAACAUGAUUCUAGGUAUGAAUUCUCUAUAAUACUUCCAUCUGGAAGCACAAAACCUGAUAGUGUUGAUGAAGGGUCGGAAGAAUACAUGAAGCUUUGAAAUUUUCGCAAGAAGAACUAGCACCAAGAGCCGAGUAAACGUAAGCUUUUCUUUAGGAAACAGAAAAAUCUGCAGCAAAUAUUUGAUGUUUCUCGAUGCUUGAAGACAACAAGUGAAGUUGUUGCUACCAUCUUACAAGCCAAAGUCAUGAAAAAGUCAGGUGAUAAAAUGUUGGGAGAUUACAAAAUUCAUGCUCUAUUCACACAUGGUGGAGGCAACCCAACAAGUUGUUAUGGGAGCCAGCAGAGAAAGGAGUCGAGGAACCCGCAUCAUGGGAGAGUCAUCCAGGGGCAUCUGGAUAAAGUUAGGCACUACAUUGUAUAUAUAUGGUCAGAAUAUAUGACCAUAUUCUACAUACAAUGCACGCAGAGUAUUCUUUGUUGCACAUUAUUAAAUCUUUCAUGCUAAAUCUUCAUCCUAACUAUAUACAUUGCUCGUGUAGGUUGGUUAUGAGCUGAAAAUGUAGAUUCUAUUGCCCUUUUUGAAGUAGCGUGCGAACGAAGCUAAAGACCAUAUUCCUGGCGUUGUACAGGAAUAUCUCAAGCGUAGCAAGUAGAGUUUAGUUCGUAACAGAUAAUUAUUUGGAUCAUUGCCCGUUUUGUCUGUACAUCGUCAAAUGACAUUGCAAGUGAAGCAGAUUUCAAUUAAUUUCCAAUUUUUGCGGGUUAUCUUUUCUAUACAUGUGUGCAUUUGAUGGAAAAAGGAAAGAGAUCGAUAGCAUACAACAAUAUAUGGUAGAACUAGAAUAAUCCAUGAUCUGCUACCCAGUUAUCCUUCGCAUGGCCUAUCUAUAUAUGUUCGUAGAGCAGUUUUAUGAGGCAUUAUAAACCGAUGGCGUAUGAUGUGGACUAUAUAUGCUAAAUUAUAUGGAAUAUUAGACAUCAAAUGCAUUAUCAGACCAGUUCACCCAGAGCUAAAUAAGCUAAAAGGAAGUUCCAUAUACCAUCAACCUGACGAUGAAGAAACUUUAGCUAAUUCUGAUCUCGAGAUUUUGGAGAAUGCACUUGACGUAGUCAAAGACAAACGUGCUGCCCAGCCACCAUCAUGCCAUGGACCAACGUGAAUUACUUGCCGGCCUCUGCAACUACAUCAUGUCGGUGGAUGAUGUCGGGUGUUUGGAGAAGGAAUGGGUCCGGAGCUCGACACCCGAUCCAAUGGGCUUAACUCUUAAGAAACUUCAGUGCAUACUUAACAUGGAGCAGGCUAAGGACAAUGAUUGCUUCAACACCGCCGUGAGUAUACUGUCCAUGAUGCUAGAGUCAACAAGAGGUCAGAAAUUUUGCGAGAAGGAAACUAUCCAAACGUUGGCAACAUUAUUUGAUAGCUGGCAUGGGAUGGACAACAACAUCUCAUCGUGCAACAUGGAAUAUGUCUGGCUAUUUUGUUUUUAUUUUAUGCUCUAGUGGAACGGUACAGAAUUGGUCAAGCCGGUUUGCGCGUAUGGGUAUGAGUUGAGGAAGCAGUUUUUAUUAUACCUGCUAAAACACCGUGGGAAUGAAGCUAAAGACAAUUUCCAUGAUAUUGUUAAAGAAUUUCUUAAGCGCAUCUUCUAGAUAUUGAUAAUUUUGAAAUAGAUGUUUAGAUGGAACAUCACUCAGUUUGUUACAUGGACAUGUCGUUAGUCUUUCUUUUUGUUGUCAAUUUUCAUUGC